UGGUCUGACAUGGUCUGACAUGGUCUGCUGGGCGCUGGGAAAGCUCAUCUCCUCCGCCUGCUUCCUCUUCCUCUAGGAGCUGCCGUUUCCUCCGUGUUUGGUCUCCAUCCCUCAGGGGAAGGCCUUUCUCCAUGUCCGGUGGCGCUUGGUCAUCUGCGCAGUAAAAAUGCCCUUUCUUCUGAGGACACAGUGGAGUUCUUGUUUGUGGCUCCUUGCGUGGAAUCGAACCAAGCUCUUUUGCACACCAGCUCUUCCCUGAGUGCAAAACCCCAACGCCACGAGAAGAGCCCGUUUCCUUUCACGUGACCACAGAAGGCUGCAUGCAGAACACGGGCGCCAGCGAAGGCAGUACACAUUCAGAAAUGAAAGGAGCGAACGUUUUUGCAAGCGCACUUUAAGCCUGUACAGUGAGAGCGGAAGGCCUCCGGACAACCUGAUGGGGGACCUGUGGGCGAGCGGUGCGGUGAGACAUGCUCCCUAAAGCUACACCGAGAGGAACAAGCCAUGGAAGAGCAGCGACCACUGCCGUCCGGGUGGGGGUCGUAUGGCACCUGUGGUUUAUAGACAGCUUUAGUAACGAGUAUUUCAAAACAUAGUUCACAGUUUUAAGAAGAUCUGUGCUGAUUUUAAAAACUAGAUUCUAUAUAAUUUGCACGUUGUCUUAUUUUGAAUAUGAUAUCUAUUUGGAAAAAAAUAUGUACACUAAAUUCUAUGGCUGAUUCGCUAGAAUAGCUUGAAAGAAAACAACCUCCAGUUGGAAAGAAGCCCCAGAGACUGGGUUACCCUGGCGUGUUUGGCUCCAGUCACUGCUCACAGGACGGGGAGACCCGGGCAGACAGGGCCGGCCCAGGCCCUCCGCGCCUGCACACUCAGGACCCAAGUCCUUCGGGGCCAAUGAAUAAUUGGGAGCGGUUGUUUUGUCCCAAUUACUGUGGGGGAAAAAAUGUACA
Eptesicus fuscus (big brown bat) is the source of this 950-nucleotide long non-coding RNA. RefSeq lists it as uncharacterized. The transcript has 3 exons. NCBI's taxonomy places the organism in Eukaryota, Metazoa, Chordata, Mammalia, Chiroptera, Vespertilionidae. The record is from RefSeq and is a predicted model, not a curated record.